RNAcentral lists this long non-coding RNA (951 nucleotides) under Salvia miltiorrhiza (redroot sage). RNAcentral describes it as "long non-coding RNA (SMIL_LNC010466)". Lineage: Eukaryota; Viridiplantae; Streptophyta; Magnoliopsida; Lamiales; Lamiaceae. The record is from RNAcentral.
UAGUUAUUUGUCACAAACUUUUAUUAUUAUUACUAUUAUUAUUAUUAAUCUUUUGCUUUGGCGCUCCAAGUGAAAAUGGAUUCGUGUGUUUCUAGAGAGACGAUUGGGGUGGUCUCAAGCUUUGCAAAGAGGAACAGAUUGUCUAAACACUUGCAGGAUAGAGUUUGAGGUAUGGAACUGAUUCAGAAGGACUGCAGCAAGAAACUUGAUGCUCUUUGAAGGCAAUUCAUUCAAUCAUUUUGCAUUUUUGCUCCCUUUUUGAUAAGGUGUCUUUAUUUAAAGGGGUGUUAAAUGAUAUGUUCUUUCUGCUGGUAUUGAUUAGGAUUGAUGGCCUCAGUUUAUUUUGACUUUCUUUGAGCUAGAUUUCCAUGUUUUCAUGUAGCAAAUUAAGUGUCUCUGUUAGUUAUAAACUUGUUACACAAUGCAGGGGACUGGAAAUGCAAACUUUUAACUUGCGACUGCAAUCGGAUAUGCUUGUUUCCAGGUUAUUUCUUUUCUAUUUUGUUCCUUGGUAAUGAACAUACAUCAAUUUUUGAACAUGGGAUAAAUCUUCAUGUGUUUUUUUAUCUUGAUCCAUGCAAAAAUGCAGUGAUUACCGCAGCAUGUUAAGAGUUUAUAUUUAUUAAACACAAACAUAUAGGAAUCAUAUGACUUGUUGGUUAAGUUUAUUCAAUUAGCCAAUUAUUGCACAUUGGUGCCACACCUCUUUCAGUGUUGAUGCAGCAUUAGAGAGGCUUGCUGAAUAUAAAGGAAAUACUACGUUGGUAUUAAAUCUACUUAUGAUUUUGCAAUAUCGAAUUUCCACAAACUCCAUCUCCAUAGAAUCAUGAAAAAUGAACCAGUGGAUUUUCUACAUUCGUAUCUCCCUCAUAUAGUUAUUUGUUUCUGCAUUUUGCAGAUCAGGCUGUUGAAUUUAGUGAGUGGGCUUUUGGCAACAAGUGAUCUUGGCGA